Epinephelus moara (kelp grouper) is the source of this 344-nucleotide long non-coding RNA. RefSeq lists it as uncharacterized. The record is from RefSeq and is a predicted model, not a curated record. Lineage: Eukaryota; Metazoa; Chordata; Actinopteri; Perciformes; Serranidae. The transcript is spliced from 3 exons.
UCCUGGAUUCCUGUGCUCACAGUAUGAGCGGCCUGAGAAGGCAGAUGCAAUUGCCAGACAUGUGUCCAGGUUCAGCUGUCCAGGUGGGGUGGGAGCAGCUCCAGCACCAGGUGGCCCAACAUCAGACUGUGCAGCAGAUGUGGCAGUUACUGAUAGAGAAGAGGGUCGGAUCAUUACCCAUUAGGUGGUGAAUAUGGAGGAGCAGUCCAUUGCUGCUUUUGGUCUCAAGAAACUUCAAAUGGGUACUCUUCAUGAAUGCGGCGCACAACACAGGAGGGUAUGACCACACGGUUAUUUUUGCCCAGGUGUCCCCAGCACCAGGACACAAAACUUCGAUAGGCCAG